GUGUCAGCAGCCGCGGUAAUACGAAGGGGGCUAGCGUUGUUCGGAAUUACUGGGCGUAAAGCGCGCGCAGGCGGCUGAUCAAGUCAGGGGUGAAAGCCCGGAGCUCAACUCCGGAAAUGCCUUUGAAACUGAUCGGCUUGAGUACGGGAGAGGUGAGUGGAAUUCCCAGUGUAGAGGUGAAAUUCGUAGAUAUUGGGAAGAACACCGGUGGCGAAGGCGGCUCACUGGCCCGUUUCUGACGCUCAGGCGCGACAGCGUGGGGAUCAAACAGGAUUAGAUACCCUUGUAGUCC
This 292-nucleotide ribosomal RNA is filed under the name uncultured bacterium. Its description in RNAcentral is "partial 16S ribosomal RNA". It matches the Rfam family "Bacterial small subunit ribosomal RNA", at positions 505 to 796 of the family's 1533-position model. The record is from RNAcentral.